UUCUAUUGAAUAACAGGGAAAUAUCUUCAUAGCUCUUGGGGUAGACAAAUAUUUCUCUAGCAGGACAUGCAAAGAACAGUGACCAUAAAGGAAAGUGAUAAUUUGAACUAUGUUAAAAUUAAGAACUUCUGAUGAACAAAAGGCACCACUGGGGAGAGAUUGAAAAAGCAAGCCACAGGAUGGGAGAAGACAUUUGUGAUACAUAUAUCCAACAAAAGUUCUGUUGAAUAUAUAAAGAACUCCUGUGGAAUAUAUAUAUAUAUAUUCAUUCCUUAUAUAUUCUGUUGAGUAUAUAAAGAACUCCUAGAAUAUGCACCAAAAGAAUGUACCUCCAAGAAAGCUCAGAGAAGCAUUCAUGGAGCAAAUAAUAAAUAUAAUUAUAUUCACUAUAAUUAUCUAAACAUUAUAAAUAUAAAUAUUAUAUUGUUUUCAUUAUCACCCCAAAAUGAAAACAAACUCCAUGCAUUCAUCAACAAUAGAAUGGAUAAAUAAACUGUAAUAUAUUCAUGUAAUGGAAUACUACACUGUGAUGAAAAGGAACAAACUACUGUUACUAUGACACGGGGGGAUCUCUCAAACGUGACAUUGGACAAAAGAGACCAGGCACAGAAUAGUACACAUACAAUUCCAUUUAUAUGAAGUUCAAAAACAGGUAAAACUUACUCCUAUGGUGCUAGAAAUAAGGAUCAUAGUGUCAUUUUGGGGAUGGGUGGGGGUGAAUUGGAGGGGCGCAUGCAGGGUUCUUGGGGUACUGAUAAUAUUCUGUCUUCUAAUCUGGGAUGGAUUACACAGGAAUGUUUGCUUUGUGAAAAUUCACUGAGCUGUGUGUUUAGUAUUUGUGUACUUUUCUAUAGUAUAUACCUCAAUUAAAAAUCUGUCUAAAAUUGGUGCACGACAAUGUGAAUGUACUUAACACUAUUGAACUAUAUUCUUAAAACUGUUAAAAUGAUCAAUUGUAUGUUACAUGUAUUUUAUCAAAACUAUAAAAAGAUUUUUAAAAGAAUGAACCAACUUCACUGAUACCUUGAUUUGACUUCUGGCCUCCAGGGUCAUGCGAUGCAGCCAUAUUUACUUCCAGUGAGUUCCCAAAUCAGUAUUUUUUAGGCUCAACUUAGUUUCUUAUGUAUGUAACAUCUGCCACCAAAAGUAAAUAUUUUCUAACUGGAAAAAAAUAAAUUUAAAUAAAGGAGUUUCCCUGCAUACUCUAGUGCUAAUAGGAAAAAAUACGGCAGUCCAUCAGAGCUCACCAAGCUCGGUGAUUGGAUCAACUCUGCCAGAGUGUGAAAUCAAGCAAGUAGACUUAAAAUCUCAGCUUCUCCCUCCCUCUGUGCCGACAGGCCCCUGGAGGGAAGUUCAGCUGGACGAAGUUCACAGGCCUGGGGAUGCCUACUGAGACAAAGCCCUUGCCAGCUGUUGUUUUCCUCACCCUCAUAGUGUAGGAACUGAAGCCAGGGCUGACCUCAGCAGCUGUCCCCACAGAUCAUGUCUAGAGCACACUAAAGGGUUGGACCAACCCCAGAUCACAGACAGCUCCACAAGGUCACAGUUCCAGCCCUGCAACUGACCUCACCAGCAGCAUUGUUUAGAGCACUCAGCAUUGUUUGCAAGAAGUUUGUCUAAAGUUUGUCGUGUAACCGUGCUCACACUGAAGUCAUGAUCUGCCGGCCCUGAGCCUCUGCAUCUCAGUUUCUUCGCAUGGAAAACAGGACUAACAACACUCAGUCCCCACUGCUGUCAUGAGGAUGGAACACUCAAGGAGAACUGCACAGUGUGGCUCAGCCUCACGCUUUGUUUGCUUAUCAGUUUUGAUUCUGCAGGGCUCUUCAGGACCACAGCCCUGUCCCUUCUUCCAGUCUGUAUCAGCAUCUGAUCUCUCAGGGUGGGUCUAGGUCUUCUUUAAUAAAUCCAUCCAGCUGAGCUUUCCAUCCACGAGCAAGAAGGGACGCUCACCAGACACUGGCAAGCACUGAGUUUGUCCCCGGCCCAUGUCACCUUCACCAUCCUUUAUCUUGUAGGAACACAUUGAGAGCCAGAGUCUGAAGGAAUGUGCUGCUCAAAGAGCUGAAGACAGAACUCAUUUGAAGCUUGCAAAUGCCUUAGUCUUUAAAGAAUUCACUAGAGCCAAUGCAAGGCUGUCCCUAUCCAGCCUGUGUGCUCCAUCCUGGUCUCAUGAGUAGGAAAGGAGCUAGUCACAGAUCCUGGAGCUCUGGGGAAUUUCUUCUAGAUACAGAGCUUUGGGGAGCAGGCUAGAGGAAGCCACUGAGGCCCACACGCAGCCUCUGCUCCUGGGAGAGCCCUGAAGGGCCAUGAGAUGCACCACAUCAGGGCAGUCCCCAUCCUCAGAGAAGGCUACACAACUUGACAGUUUCUGUGCCUGGGUCUGUGCUAGCCCUUUAGCCUGGGGUGCCACCCACUCCACCUUCCAAUGAUUAAACCCCUCUUUCCCUUCAAGGUACUGUAAAUGCUCCUUUUGUGAUGCCCCUGGAGCUUCUCCCAUUGCAGUCCUAUACCAUGUUACUUGCAUGUUGCUGCAUUUACGAAUUGCCUGGAGCACAGAAGUCACGGUACCAGUUGUUUUGCAUAAGAAUUCCAUUUAAUCCUCAUUGCUCGCUUCAUUAGGCAGGUAUUGAUAUACCCAUUUUACAGAAGAGCUUCACCAAGUAAAGGCAGAGGGCUAGAAUUAAGAUUUAAACUUGAGUCUGACUCCAAAGCCCAUGCUCUUGCAAUGACCAUGUUAUGAAUCUUAUAUUAAUCUUUGUUUGGUCUUAUGAUCUGGCACGGUGCCUUGUACGUAAGCAAUUCUCAAUAAAUGUUUGCAGAGUGCAAUGUGUCAUCUCAGAGUGUUGAAGGAAAGCAAACCAGCGUCUCAAGUAAUUUAGACUUUGGCAUAACUUUCUGAAAGGGACACGCCUGCCAGCUGCCGCCGACCACCCCGCCGACCCUGUUUCUGUAUGUCAUAUGGUGGCUGGGAGCCACGGGCCCUCUCCAAGUCCAUCCACUUAGGAUUUCCUCCUCCGUCAAACUCAGAGGCUUUGGCCAUUCCUGAUGUUUACUCAUUCACUGCCAAUCCCACACGCCUCUAUGCUGCUCUCUUCCACAAGCAUUUGGCUCUUCAUUUCAGAAUUUCCGCUGAGUCAUAGCUGGAGCAGGCAGUGAGGGUGUCCCUUCAGCUCUCUAAAUUUACCUCCCUGAGCUUGAUUUCCCAUAGUGGCCAGUUGACCUUGACCAGAUUGACUUCAGAGAAGCCAGCUGUAAUUAAGCAGAGGCAGAAAUCUCCAAGGAGGCAGCCGCAUGGAGGCGUGACAUGUGACCAUGACUUUCGGCUGGAGGUGGGGGUCAUGUGCACGUGGCCUGGGGCUUAGCUCUCACCCUGCUACUCACUCAGAAUUCUCCUCUGGGUUUGGAGGUCUGUGAGCAAGAUGAAAAAACACAGAAUUCUGUUAUUCUGUUCCUCGUAGUGUAAGCAUUCUUUUUCUUGGGUUCUUUUUUAGGAACAGAACAAAAUUAAAAGUAAAGGGAGCCAAAAGCAGCAACACCCAGGGCUGAAAGUAUUGAAAAGGCCCAUGGGCAGCCAGCCAGCAAAAAGAAGAAGCUGAAACAUCCCACAGCAGGGAAUUGCUAUGUAUGUAAGCCCCAUUUCAAGAACAACUAAUACAGAAAAAUCCAAAUCUUAAAACCUACAAAUUAGUGCACGAGUACUACAACUGAUGUGCCUUACAAACAGAUUUUUACUUAAUAAACAGACUCUGUGAGAUCUUUGGCCAAUGGUUAUUCCUUUGUAUGGCUUCUUGAAAUUCCCUGAGAAAUUAAAGAAAGUGAUGGACCCCUUUUCCAGAAAAUUGUAUUCACACAUGAGACCCCAUCUCAAAAAAUCAAUUAUUUAUUAAUUAAGAAAAGAAAUGUAAUUCCUUUCUUCUAUUAGAUUACGACCUAUAAGAAAGAAUAGUAAACACUACAAAUCUGACUGUAUUAUGGACACUCUAGGUGGAGCCAAGAUAGCCGACUAGAAACAGCGGCAAUCAAAGGCUCCUAUGAAAAAGAACCAUAAUUGGUGCGUAAAUCCUUCAUGGGCAACCAAGCUACCCAGGUUCUCUCAUCAGGACUGACUUAGGCACCUGAUGUGAUCCAUGAUAAGGAAGGAAGAGCAGUGGAGUGUGGCAGCCACCUAAGAGCCACACGGGGCAGGGGAGUUCCACCCCCAGCAAAGGGAGGCGGUGAGUGAGCGUGCUACCCAGCCGGGGAAACCGUGCUUUUUACACAGAACUGUGCAACCUACGGAUUGGAAGAUCCCACUGGCAAACCCAUGCCACCGGGGCCUAGGGUCCCAAACUUGGAGCCGCGCACAUUCUCAACAGCCCCUCACUGGAAUCUGCUUAAGCCUGCCAAGCUUCCGGGGGGAGGGGUGACCAACACCACAGCUGCAGCUGCCUGCUGCCUAAGCCAUUUGAGCUCCUUGGGGUAGAGGCAGCAGCCAGCACUGGGACUCAUAACUGCCUAACACACUAAGCUCCCUGAGCGGGGGAAGGGCAGAAGCCAUUUCUAUAGUCAGGCCGCACUUUUCUCCUGCUGGAGUCAGGGAGGCACCACGGCUUGGUCCCCAAGAGGUGUCCCCCACAGCCCAACAUACCAGCUGUGGCAGACUGUGGCCAGAGCGCCUCUUCAGGCCUGACACUGACACAUCCUUCCUCACUGGGCAGGGCUUCCCUGCAGGAACUCCAACAACUGCAGCCAGAGGCUCAGGGACAGAACCGAGAUCUCCCUGGGCCUGAGCCCCUAAUGGGAGGGGUGGCCGCACCUCCAUUACCAGGAGGAAAGGAAGAUUUAGCCUUUCCUCCUGGUAGUUCUGAGGAAUCUGGACAGCCCAGAUGAAUGGGUUUCCCCAAAGCGAAGCACACUCCC
Molecule: long non-coding RNA, 4899 nt
Filed under: Homo sapiens (human)
Lineage: Eukaryota; Metazoa; Chordata; Mammalia; Primates; Hominidae
Description: non-protein coding lnc-C6orf201-21:1
Source: RNAcentral